This 119-nucleotide ribosomal RNA is filed under the name Petromyzon marinus (sea lamprey). The record is from RNAcentral. Lineage: Eukaryota; Metazoa; Chordata; Hyperoartia; Petromyzontiformes; Petromyzontidae.
CAUUACAAUGAAAUCACCAUGCAUGCGCCCGAUCUCAUCAGAUCUCAGACGUUAAGCAGGUCUGAGCCUGUUCGGUACUUGGAUCGGAGACUGCCUGGGAGUAACAGAUGUUGUAGGCU